GAAAUGCGAUAAGUAAUGUGAAUUGCAGAAUUCCGUGAAUCAUCGAAUCUUUGAACGCACAUUGCGCCCUCUGGUAUUCCGGGGGGCAUGCCUGUCCGAGCGUCAUUACGAACCCCUCAAGCACGGCUUGUGUGAUGGGCCCUCCCGCGUCUUGGUCGUCAAGACGGGCCCGAAAAGCAGUGGCGGCUUCGCGGUUAUCCGAUCAGCCAGAGCGUAUGGGGACUUUCUCUCUGUCACACGCCCGCGGCGCGGACCGACGCCUGUCGACCUUUAUUCAUCUUUUUCUCGGUUGACCUCGGAUCAGGUAGGGAUACCCGCUGAACUUAAGC
RNAcentral lists this unclassified non-coding RNA (329 nucleotides) under plant metagenome. RNAcentral's name for it is "partial contains 5.8S ribosomal RNA, internal transcribed spacer 2, and large subunit ribosomal RNA". The stretch from base 1 to 105 matches the Rfam family "5.8S ribosomal RNA", at positions 50 to 154 of the family's 154-position model. The record is from RNAcentral.